Apteryx owenii (little spotted kiwi) is the source of this 1340-nucleotide long non-coding RNA. The record is from Ensembl. NCBI's taxonomy places the organism in Eukaryota, Metazoa, Chordata, Aves, Apterygiformes, Apterygidae.
UGCUGCUGAAAGCUGCGACAAGACUUAAUGCAUUCUUCUUUUCACAGGAUCUACAAGGUCUUAUAGAGCGACUCCAGAAUACCUCAUAGGAUGGAUCUGAAGCCAAUUGCAACCCUGCCUAAGGCUUUGGCUGCACACACCAAUGCCAGCACCGUGAAAAUACCCGCAACAGGCCAAGGGGCCACAAGCUUCUGCCUCCCUCAGGAACAAGAUCUGCUCCACUUAUUAUGCCAGUUUCCUGUGCAGCCGACACAAUACACUGGUUCCUCUGCAUUCUCCAGAAGCAACAAUCUCCCCCGAAACCCCACUUCCUUCAGAGUGUCUAUUUAAGCAUGGAUUUGCUGUAUUUCCAAGACAGACGGUAUCUCCCAGGGCGCGCUGUGGCCACGUGACUGCCAUGAUGCACCACUUCCCUGUACGAAUAGAGUGAAAGAGGAGGGCAUGCCGAUAUACUUAUUUUUAACAGGGAAACCAAACUACAAUGAAGAAUACUGGUUUGCAACACCUGCACUACAGUUCCCAGGAGGCAGUGCAGCUAUGUUUAGGAACCAAAAUACUGUUCUUUUUCACUGCCAUUUCAGACUAUUCUAUGUAAAAAAGUCUUCCUAACUGCCCAUUUUCCAAGCAGCUCUAACCAAGCAUCCUCAAUGAGACAAUAUAGGAAAUAAUAGAAGAGGGACCUACUUAAGGAAAAAAGAGACCUAGACGUCCCAUUUUCAGAUGUCGUCAUCUUCUUAUGAGCUUAUUUUCCAUUGUGUGAGGUACUUAACUGAUUCUUCAGAACAACUGGAUGUUAAUAAUGAUCAAUCUACAUUUACUCUGCACGUAACCACAGAGGUUACGAUGCACGGCAUAACUGCAGUGUCCCGAAUGUUUCCUUUUUGUGGCUGGCUGCAGAGACCGUAACCGCCUGCUACUCCUUUCUAGGUGAAGGUUUCCCUCCUUCAGUGUGGGUGGCAGGAGCUUGUGCUUCUGCUGCUGACACUUUUGAUCUUGACUCUCACUGGUGGUUGUUGGCAGCCACAUUUAAUUAUCAUGCAAUCAACAUUGUUUUGUUAUUCUCCUUUCAAAAUGACCCAAAGGUACUUGACAACAGCGCCAUAUCAACCAAACCAAACCAAACCAAACCAAACCAAACCAGACCUUACCUCUUGGGAAGGAUGGAAGUAGCCUUAAUAUUCUUCAUUCCAAGGAAGAAUUUAUUACAUGCUUCACAUGUUUUCAUGUUCUCUUUCCCUAAAACACUGUAAAGACAUAGAGAAGGCCAGAGGUUAGAUAUGGCAUAAUUGCAAUGGCAGUCCAUCUCUUCCUGACCGAUUAAUUAUUGAUCUAUUUUCCUG